This 465-nucleotide ribosomal RNA is filed under the name uncultured Weissella sp. RNAcentral describes it as "bacterial SSU rRNA". It matches the Rfam family "Bacterial small subunit ribosomal RNA", at positions 338 to 795 of the family's 1533-position model. Lineage: Bacteria; Bacillati; Bacillota; Bacilli; Lactobacillales; Lactobacillaceae. The record is from RNAcentral.
CCUACGGGCGGCAGCAGUAGGGAAUCUUCCACAAUGGACGAAAGUCUGAUGGAGCAACGCCGCGUGUGUGAUGAAGGGUUUCGGCUCGUAAAACACUGUUGUAAGAGAAGAAUGACAUUGAGAGUAACUGUUCAGUGUGUGACGGUAUCUUACCAGAAAGGAACGGCUAAAUACGUGCCAGCAGCCGCGGUAAUACGUAUGUUCACAGCGUUAUCCGGAUUUAUUGGGCGUAAAGCGAUCGUAGACGGUUGGUGAGGUCCGGAGUGAAAGCCAACAGCUUAACUGUGGAUGUGCUUUGGAAACUGGAUAACUUGAGUGCAGUAGAGGAGAUUGGAACUCCAUGUGUGUCGGUGAAAUGCGUAGAUAUAUGGAAGGACACCAGUGGCGAAGGCGGCUCUCUGGACUGUAACUGACGUUGAGGCUCGAAAGUGUGGGUAGCAAACAGGAUUAGAUACCCUAGUAGUC